AUUGAACGCUGGCGGCAUGCCUUACACAUGCAAGUCGAACGGCAGCACGGGUGCUUGCACCUGGUGGCGAGUGGCGAACGGGUGAGUAAUACAUCGGAACAUGUCCUGUAGUGGGGGAUAGCCCGGCGAAAGCCGGAUUAAUACCGCAUACGAUCCACGGAUGAAAGCGGGGGACCUUCGGGCCUCGCGCUAUAGGGUUGGCCGAUGGCUGAUUAGCUAGUUGGUGGGGUAAAGGCCUACCAAGGCGACGAUCAGUAGCUGGUCUGAGAGGACGACCAGCCACACUGGGACUUGGACACGGCCCAGACUCCUACGGGAGGCAGCAGUGGGGAAUUUUGGACAAUGGGCGAAAGCCUGAUCCAGCAAUGCCGCGUGUGUGAAGAAGGCCUUCGGGUUGUAAAGCACUUUUGUCCGGAAAGAAAUCCUUGACUCUAAUACAGUCGGGGGAUGACGGUACCGGAAGAAUAAGCACCGGCUAACUACGUG
RNAcentral lists this ribosomal RNA (486 nucleotides) under uncultured bacterium. RNAcentral describes it as "partial 16S ribosomal RNA". It matches the Rfam family "Bacterial small subunit ribosomal RNA", at positions 30 to 507 of the family's 1533-position model. The record is from RNAcentral.